CCGGAACUGCAAGUCCAUACAGCCAUACCUCCCAAUGGAAGAUCCCCUGUUCACAAUCAAAUACCUGAGAGUAAGGCAGAAGAUGGUCUUGGAGACACUCCUGAGAUUCCAGAACCAGAGGUCACCUAUAUGGUUAUUCCGUCCAAUGAAGAGUCUGCUGUUGCCAACCAAAACCUUGAAAGCAACGUAGAAAAUACUGGUGAUUUUACUGAUGAUGCCACUGAUGAUGUUGUAUCCGGACCUACCAUUUCCAACGUGGUGAUUGAUGAGGAAGCUUUCGAGAUGGCACCUGCUGCUAAAAGCUCACCUGGUGAUAUUGCCAAUGAAUCAUGGGUUGUUUCUGAAAGUAGGUCUCAGGAUUAUCCCGGAGAGAAGCAUGAGGAACUAGGUGAUUGUGGUGUGUCUGAAGUGUCUCAGUCAUGGAGUGAGCCUCGUAAUGAACCAUCAGAGAAUAGGUCUGCAACUCAAGAUGUUCCUACAAAUACCUCUACUACAUCUACUGGUGCAAGUGAAGUGUCUAAUUCACAGGGUGAGCCUCUUAAGGAACCAUUGGAGAACAGAUUUGCAACCCAAGGUAUUCCUACAAAUACAUCUACUGCAUCUACUGUAGUACCGUCUGUUAAACUCUGGACAAAUGCCGGGCUCUUUGGACUUGAACCAUCUAAACCUCCAGUAUUUGGUGCCCAAGAUACUCCAAGGGAGGAUACUCCACCUGGUUUUGAAGUACCUCAACCAAGCC
This 739-nucleotide long non-coding RNA is filed under the name Setaria italica (foxtail millet). Its description in RNAcentral is "long non-coding RNA (SITA_LNC003617)". Lineage: Eukaryota; Viridiplantae; Streptophyta; Magnoliopsida; Poales; Poaceae. The record is from RNAcentral.